GGAUGAAUAUUGCGCAAUGGGCGAAAGCCUGACGCAGCGACGCCGCGUGGACGAUGAAGGUCUUCGGAUCGUAAAGUCCUUUUCUGCGUGACGAGGAAGGACGGUAGCGCAGGAAUAAGUGUCGGCUAACUACGUGCCAGCAGCCGCGGUAACACGUAGGACGCAAGCGUUAUCCGGAAUUACUGGGCGUAAAGAGCGUGUAGGCGGCACGGUAAGUCAACCGUGAAAGCUCCCGGCUAAACUGGGAGAG
RNAcentral lists this ribosomal RNA (250 nucleotides) under uncultured bacterium. Its description in RNAcentral is "partial 16S ribosomal RNA". It matches the Rfam family "Bacterial small subunit ribosomal RNA", at positions 355 to 621 of the family's 1533-position model. The record is from RNAcentral.